UGGGGAAUUUUGGACAAUGGGCGAAAGCCUGAUCCAGCAAUGCCGCGUGUGUGAAGAAGGCCUCCGGGUUGUAAAGCACUUUUGUCCGGAAAGAAAUCCUUGGCUCUAAUACAGUCGGGGGAUGACGGUACCGGAAGAAUAAGCACCGGCUAACUACGUGCCAGCAGCCGCGGUAAUACGUAGGGUGCAAGCGUUAAUCGGAAUUACUGGGCGUAAAGCGUGCGCAGGCGGUUUGCUAAGACCGAUGUGAAAUCCCCGGGCUCAACCUGGGAACUGCAUUGGUGACUGGCAGGCUAGAGUAUGGCAGAGGGGGGUAGAAUUCCACGUGUAGCAGUGAAAUGCGUAGAGAUGUGGAGGAAUACCGAUGGCGAAGGCAGCCCCCUGGGCCAAUACUGACGCUCAUGCACGAAAAGCGUGGGGAGCAAAACAGGAUUAGAUACCCUGGUAGUCCACGCCCUAAAACGAUGUCAACUAGUUGUUGGGGAUUCAUUUCCUUAGUAACGUAGCUAACGCGUGAAGUUGACCGCCUGGGGGAGUACGGUCGCAAAGAUUAAAACUCAAAGGAAUUGACGGGGUCAUAGCU
Molecule: ribosomal RNA, 583 nt
Filed under: uncultured bacterium
Lineage: Bacteria
Description: partial 16S ribosomal RNA
Rfam family: Bacterial small subunit ribosomal RNA
Source: RNAcentral